UGGGGAAUCUUGGACAAUGGGCGCAAGCCUGAUCCAGCCAUGCCGCGUGAGUGAUGAAGGCCUUCGGGUUGUAAAACUCUUUUGGCGGGGACGAUAAUGACGGUACCCGCAGAAUAAGCUCCGGCUAACUUCGUGCCAGCAGCCGCGGUAAUACGAAGGGGGCUAGCGUUGUUCGGAAUUACUGGGCGUAAAGCGUGCGCAGGCGGCUUCUCAAGUCAGGGGUGAAAGCCCAGAGCUCAACUCUGGAACUGCCUUUGAGACUGAGAGGCUUGAGUACGGGAGAGGUGAGUGGAAUUCCCAGUGUAGAGGUGAAAUUCGUAGAUAUUGGGAAGAACACCGGUGGCGAAGGCGGCUCACUGGCCCGUAACUGACGCUCAUGCACGACAGCGUGGGGAUCAAACAG
This 403-nucleotide ribosomal RNA is filed under the name uncultured bacterium. RNAcentral's name for it is "bacterial SSU rRNA". It matches the Rfam family "Bacterial small subunit ribosomal RNA", at positions 355 to 775 of the family's 1533-position model. The record is from RNAcentral.